RNAcentral lists this transfer RNA (92 nucleotides) under Candidatus Omnitrophota bacterium. Its description in RNAcentral is "Candidatus Omnitrophica bacterium tRNA-Ser". It matches the Rfam family "tRNA". From Rfam's summary of the family: Transfer RNA (tRNA) molecules are approximately 80 nucleotides in length. Their secondary structure includes four short double-helical elements and three loops (D, anti-codon, and T loops). Lineage: Bacteria; Pseudomonadati; Candidatus Omnitrophota. The record is from RNAcentral.
GGAGAGAUGGCAGAGCGGUUGAAUGCGCACGCUUGGAGAGCGUGUAACGGCCGAAAGGUUGUUCUAGGGUUCGAAUCCCUAUCUCUCCGCCA